Molecule: long non-coding RNA, 553 nt
Organism: Ruditapes philippinarum (Manila clam)
Lineage: Eukaryota; Metazoa; Mollusca; Bivalvia; Venerida; Veneridae
Exons: 3
Source: RefSeq, a predicted model, not a curated record
AGGCGUUGUUUUUGCUCAUGUCAGAGUUGACAUUUUAAUACAAAAACUUUCAUGAUUGAUCGUUUAGUUUUAAUAUAAGAAGCAAAAAAUUGUUAGUUCAUUCUUCAGAAUUACUUUGUGUUUCUUUCCUUGGACUAAAUAUUUACGUCGUCACAGAGGAGCUAUGUUUUCCCGAAUUCUUGUCGCUCUUGUUAUCGCAGUGAUCCUGGGUGUGGUCAGCGGUCAGUAUGGUUAUUACUAUGGUGAUGGUUCGGACAGGCCUGAUUAUGACAGACCUGACUAUAACGGACCCGACAACUACUAUCAUAUGAGACCGCCUAUGCCAUUUAUGAGAGGCCCAUUCUUCCAUCACAUGAGACGUCCAAUGUACUGGUAAAUAGUGGUAAGAGAGAUGCCACACAUUGCCUGUUGUUUACACAAAAACAUGAGAGUGAAAUAUACUGAUGACAAUUGUAAAUUGUUGCUCUGUAAAUGUUAUUUCCAAGUCAUUUAAUGCACUGAUAUAUAAUUCAUGUUUAUAUACAUGUAUAUUAAAAUAUGUUAUAUUGUUUUA